RNAcentral lists this transfer RNA (85 nucleotides) under Candidatus Psyllophila symbiotica. RNAcentral's name for it is "Enterobacteriaceae bacterium Cmel17 tRNA-Leu". It matches the Rfam family "tRNA". Rfam says of the family: Transfer RNA (tRNA) molecules are approximately 80 nucleotides in length. Their secondary structure includes four short double-helical elements and three loops (D, anti-codon, and T loops). The record is from RNAcentral. Lineage: Bacteria; Pseudomonadati; Pseudomonadota; Gammaproteobacteria; Enterobacterales; Enterobacteriaceae.
GCGGGAGUGGCGAAAAUUGGUAGACGCACCAGAUUUAGGAUCUGACACUAUAUUUAGUAUACGAGUUCAAAUCUCGUCUCCCGUA